This 2206-nucleotide long non-coding RNA is filed under the name Homo sapiens (human). RNAcentral's name for it is "HSALNT0306511". Lineage: Eukaryota; Metazoa; Chordata; Mammalia; Primates; Hominidae. The record is from RNAcentral.
ACUCCAUCUCAAAAAAAAAAAAAAAAAAAAAAAAACUGAUGUGUAGGUGUUUUGUGAUCAAAAAAUUGGGGAUUUACUCUAGGGAGUCAGGGAAAGCUUCCCCUAGCAUGUCUUAUGUGUGCCAUGAGCUGCAGUUCAUGAUAAAGACUGACCAAUUAGGUGAAGGCGAGAACUGGAGGGGAAGAACCUUCUAGCACAAGUUAAGGCUUUCCAGUAGGUGUGGGAGGGAUCAUUCGGGGACAGAAUCAAAGCCAAUGUGGCUGAACAAGGAGUUGGAGUGGGGAGUGUGCAGAGAGUGAGAUGAAGUUUAAAGGUCAGCAGAAACCAGAUCACAAGCAUCAAAUGCCUCAUGGGCCAUGUUAACAGUUUUGAAUUCCUCCCUGGGAAAGGGCUGUAGCAGGGAAGUGACAUGGCUAAUUCAGCAUUUUUAAGAAUAUCACUUUGCCUGUCGUGGGCCAUGCAAACUGGAUUCAGGAGACAAGUUAUGAUCUUGUUGUAUCAGCAUAAGUGAGAAGAUGGGAGCUUGGAACAAGGUUCAGAGGACAACGCUGCCUCCUGGAAGCCAAAACUCUUUCCAAUGUGAGUAUACUUCUCUUUUCCAAAUCUACUUUCAGUGAUUACCACUCUGAUAGGCAAAUAUUCUCACUAUCAUCUACCCAAAUUAUUCCUGGUCUUCCUUCUACCUUUGUUCCAAUUGCUCCUUUCUUCACAAAUGUCAUCUUCUUCAUUUACUUAUACCACAACCAUUUUAUACAUCCAAGCUCAAGUUCCAUCUCCCCACUUCUUUAGAUAAUUCCCACCCACAGACACAUAGUUCUUUCUCUACAUUGACCAUAUGCUAGUACUUCCUUUUCCUCUUCCUGAUGAAAUUAUAAGCUACUUAGGGAAGGAAAUGUGUCUUACAUUUCUCUGAAUUCCCCUGUAAGACCAAGAACAAGGCUGGGAUUAAGUGCAAAACACCCUUUAAACCUAAUCAAAUUUCACUGCAAUGAAAAAUGUCUAGUAUAUGGAUGAUAAUUUGGAAAAAUACUAUGUUCCAAGUUGUACUAAAAACAAAAAGGCACUAUAUGAACAUGAGGGUAUUAUAGAAGAAUAUUUUAUAACAGGUAAAAAUCCAAGGCAUGUGCAGCUGGCUCCCUUAAUUUCCAGAUUACUCUAUGAGCUUGCCUUUUAGUAAACAUGUCCUUUCUGCCUUUUGUAUAUUCCUGCUCAUACCAAAAUGCAACAGCAGCACCCAUGAACUUGGUCCUCAGUGGGACUUCCAUUAGAACAUCUUCAAAAGCAGGAGGAAAGCAGGUCUUGUUCUACACAUGCCAGAGUAUAUUCCCACUGUGGCCCUACUACCACUGUUUUUCAUCUGUUGGUCUUAUAAAACUCUGACAGCAGAGUAAGAAAGGGUUUGAGAAGCAGGUCUUAUGAGGACAUACAUUACCAAGAAUGUACCUCCAUAUUCACUCUGUAUAUUAGCCCCACAAAUCUUCAAUAAAGCAACAACAUGCUUGAUAUGCUUGAAUUUUUUUGUGGAAGCUGGUGAAGAGGCUAAAUUUUGUGGGACCUUAAAAAAGGGUCAGACCACAUGUGCCCAAGAUAUAGUUCCAGGCUUCCCUGAUACCAGCUAAUGUACACUGAGCAUGUCAGGCAAAAGGCAAAGUUAUUUCAACCUGUUAGCUCUCCUAAUCUUUAUAACAACCCUGUGAAUUAACUUGAAUUGCUACAAAUAACAUGCCUGAGGCUCAGAGAAUGGAGGUAACUCAUUCAGCUCCAAAAAACCUAAUAAUGGGGCCAGGACUCUGACCAAGGUUUGUCUGAUUACUGAAUUGGAACCUGAAUUUCAAUUUUAGAGCUCCCCAACCAGUUACCAUGCAUUGACUAUCCAUGUACUAGGAGCAUCUAAGCAGGGCCUUGGAUGGCUGAGCUCCUCUGAUAUUUCCAAACCAGGCUUUGCUUACAGUGUAAACAUUCUCUUUUUUCUUGUUAGUGUCACCAACCUGAGGCUUCUCUGUUGUAACUCAGUUGUCUCAGGAACUUCCAUGGUUACUCAGUGUUCUCCCAGCCCCUGUGAGGUCACAUAUGUCUGUGCCCGUGUCUGUGAUGAGUAUAUUUAACCUCAGGGUCAAGACAGAAGAUAUUGGAAGAGAAGGAGAAGCCACUGGCUCAUUUCCCAGUUUUUCCAUUUUUAUUGAAAAAAUAAAAGUAUUUCCUGUAA